ACGCGUAUCACUCCUACGGGAGGCAGCAAGUUGAGGAAUAUUGGACGAAUGGGGGCAACCCUGAUCCAGCCAUGCCGCGUGCAGGAAGACUGCCCUAUGGGUUGUAAACUGCUUUUGUACAGGAAGAAACAUUCCCUCGUGAGGGAGCUUGACGGUACUGUAAGAAUAAGGAUCGGCUAACUACGUGCCAGCAGCCGCGGUAAUACGGAGGAUCCAAGCGUUAUCCGGAAUCAUUGGGUUUAAAGGGUCCGUAGGUGGACGAUUAAGUCAGGGGUGAAAGUCUGCAGCUCAACUGUAGAAUUGCCUUUGAUACUGGUUGUCUUGAAUUAUUGUGAAGUGGUUAGAAUAUGUAGUGUAGCGGUGAAAUGCAUAGAUAUUACAUAGAAUACCAAUUGCGAAGGCAGAUCACUAACAAUAUAUUGACACUGAUGGACGAAAGCGUGGGGAGCGAACAGGAUUAGAUACCCUGGUAG
Molecule: ribosomal RNA, 473 nt
Filed under: uncultured bacterium
Lineage: Bacteria
Description: bacterial SSU rRNA
Rfam family: Bacterial small subunit ribosomal RNA
Source: RNAcentral